GAGUGAUCAACCGCUUGAACAAGCUAUGGAGCUUGAGUAGCUCAUUGGAAUUGGUGUUGGUUUUGGAGUAGAGUAUUGUUGACAUUGGUGAAGAACAAAGGUCGACUGAAGCAUUGAGGUAAGGAUGCUGCAGGAGCCUCUGGUGGCAAGUGGCCAUAUCUGGAUUAUGCAUGAAAUGUGGCAUUUCUUUUGAGUUUAUGCAUGCCUUUUGUAGUUGACAUGUAUAGGAUUUUAUUUUGAAAGCCCAUGGUCAUUUGUAUAUCUUGAUUCAUUGGAUGAACUUAGCCUAUGCUCAUGCCUUUGGUUACACCUUUUGUUGAUGGGAGCCAAGGGAAUGAUCAUAGUGUUUUGUAAGCUAAGUUCUAUGAUUUGUAAAGGAUAUGUAAUGUAAAUGAU
This is a long non-coding RNA of Gastrolobium bilobum, 396 nucleotides long. RefSeq lists it as uncharacterized. Lineage: Eukaryota; Viridiplantae; Streptophyta; Magnoliopsida; Fabales; Fabaceae. The transcript is spliced from 3 exons. The record is from RefSeq and is a predicted model, not a curated record.